Molecule: long non-coding RNA, 181 nt
Organism: Selaginella moellendorffii
Lineage: Eukaryota; Viridiplantae; Streptophyta; Lycopodiopsida; Selaginellales; Selaginellaceae
Exons: 3
Source: RefSeq, a predicted model, not a curated record
GGGGCUUUUAGCGCAAGGCGGCGAUAUGGAUCGAGGUUCCGUAGGUUUGGAACUUGGAUGUUUUGGAAUCCGAGAGCUCGUACGCGAUCAAUCUAACGAGAGAGUUUUGAGCAGUUCCUCAUGCAGUAUCCACUUUCGUUUUAGAGUUUCAAGUAAUCAAAUCGUAACUCCAUUGUUCGCC